This is a long non-coding RNA of Solea senegalensis (Senegalese sole), 2250 nucleotides long. RefSeq lists it as uncharacterized. NCBI's taxonomy places the organism in Eukaryota, Metazoa, Chordata, Actinopteri, Pleuronectiformes, Soleidae. The transcript has 2 exons. The record is from RefSeq and is a predicted model, not a curated record.
AUAACCAAAGAGAGACGGGGGGUAGGGUGGAAUGAGCAGAACACGUGAUGGUGAAAAGCCUGCAGGCUGCUGUUCUGGGAAAGGCAGACAGAGACAUCCCCCCAUAUUGAUGCUGCCGUUUCACCACAACAACAGUUCUGGGAAAUGGCCGCCGUCUGAACUGUAUAGCUGCUAUUUACAUGGCACUGAUUCAGCCCACUUACUGCUUUCAUCAUCAGCACCCGCAGAUGGUCCCACUUUAUCGGCAGACUCACAAUAUCUCAUCGCGUAAAAGGGGAAAGAAAAAGCAUAAAAACUGUGAGUGAAAAUAAGGGAAAUGGGAUAAACACACGGCAUUUUACGGAGUGGAAAGCGGCAGCGGGGCUCAUGGACGAUGAUGGGGGAGAGAGAGCAGUCUGGACCAGAAGCACUGGAGACAUGAGUCAUGGCAAGCAAACUCCCAGGGGGCUUGUUGGUGCAGUCUAUAAAUGGAAAUAGCAGAAAAACAGCAGCUUCCCUCGCCCACCCAGGACUAGGUUAUGGCUUAUUAGAAUCUGAUGGCUUAUGACAGCAGCUGCUUUGUUUAGCCCCAGCCUGAACUUCACCAUCAUUUUUUAUUUAUUUUUUUUGACCAGACAAAUGCCAUGGAAAAAUAAAUGAAUAUAUACUGUAUAUAAAAAGUAACCGGCCUAGUGCAAGAAAAUCAUUCUGGCAUGCGAGAAUGUGUUACUGAAAACAGUUUUUUGCUUUAUUAAAGUAACAGUCUUGUUUUUUUCACCUUCACACAAAGUGCAGCCUGUAUCUGUUAAAAAGAAGUUGAUGACUGACAUGAACCAGUUAACUUGGCUCCUUGGUUUCCCCUUGGCUACCCUGCUGUGGAGCUGGCCUAUAUCAAACAUUGCCAGAUAUCUGGGACAACCUCUGGAAAAAAAAGGCAUAAUGUCUCAUAAAUUGACCAAAAGGGAGACAUUAACUUGAAAAAUACACAGUAUGUGUUCUUAAAUCUUUAAGAAUGUAUGAAGUGAGGAAAAGAUUACUACCUUUACACUUAUUACACACUUGGAUACUGCUUUUAACAUGAAGUUGAAACAUAAAACAUUUGAUAAGCUACAGGUUCUGAAUACUUCUACAAUAUUAAACCCAAGGGCACAAAACAAAUGUUACAUGGAGUAUGUGUUAAGCUGGAUCCAUAUGUACACAACACGUCAACGCUUGACAGUGGGCGGGUCUGACGCUUGGUGCUGGAGGUAGCUAACAGAGUCCCUGAGGCGAUGGUGAUGUGAUGGACAAAAAAAUCAUUGUGUCACAACUGUGUCCGAGCGCUCAGAGCUUUUAGCCGUUUGAGCUAAAGGCAUAUGCAAGCCAACAAGGAAACUUGACAUUGCUCCAUUUGAAGUGAAUGAGAAACUUUUAAGUUGACGCCUCCACGUGAAUCAGCCAUUAAUGAGAAAGUGGUUAUACCCGUUUACCUGGCAUGUCCUUGUCUCUCUGCACUAAUGAUUGUCAUGAUUUCGUCAGCAGCAAUGUCACAGCAACCUGGAGCUUUGUGGUUGUUGGGAGUGAGCCAGUGGCUCCAUACCACCUGCUCCACCUCCCUCCCUCCCGCCCUCCCCGCCUCAAAGCACUCUGCUUCACCUGCUUCCACGGUAAGCAGACACACCCUGUCCUCCGUUCCUCCCUCGUAGCCUGCAGCUAAAGCGGAGCUAGUCUGCACAGGAGCACAGAUGCAGACAGAGCUCCAGCAUGGCCGUCAUACCAGAGGAGGGAGGGAUCUCCGUGACUGUGGGCCUUUUGUUUAGCUGCCACCACUAACAACCCGCCAGGUCGUGUUUGCUCUUCUUUUUUGUUUCACCUGUCGUCACACUGAUCUCUUUCAUCUGUGGGGUGUAUCCCAGAGAUCCUCCCUCAUGGCAGGGAAAACAUUAUCUCAUUGGAGUAAAAGCCAGAGGUAAAGUGACUGAGGUAGUUUUUUAAGGGUUUUUAAUUGUUUAAGAGCGGGAAACACAGAAACGGUUCUGCUUUUUUUCUGUGUGUGGGAGGCGUCGUAAAGUUUACAGGUUGGAUCAUGAUGAAUAGAAGGACAAUGCAGAUGAGGGGCCGUGGUGCCAACCUGAAGGCUGUCCCCAUGGUUAUUGUUGGUGUUGUUGUUUUGGUCAUAUUACUGCAAAUUUAUCUGGAGAUGAUGGUGACGCUUCUGUGAUGAGAUGGCUCUGCUGUGUGAUCAGUGGCUCAUGUAACUUUUAAAAUGAAUAAAUGUCUUGGUCUACUCAG